UACAGAGGUCCCAAGCGUUGUUCGGAUUCACUGGGCGUAAAGGGUGCGUAGGCGGUCGGAUAAGUCUGAUGUGAAAUCUUCGAGCUCAACUCGGAAACUGCAUCGGAAACUAUUCGGCUGGAGGAUUGGAGGGGAGACUGGAAUUCUCGGUGUAGCAGUGAAAUGCGUAGAUAUCGAGAGGAACACCUGCGGCGAAGGCGGGUUGCUGGGCUGACACUGACGCUGAGGCGCGAAAGCCAGGGGAGCGAACGGG
Molecule: ribosomal RNA, 253 nt
Filed under: uncultured bacterium
Lineage: Bacteria
Description: partial 16S ribosomal RNA
Rfam family: Bacterial small subunit ribosomal RNA
Source: RNAcentral